RNAcentral lists this transfer RNA (92 nucleotides) under Chitinophagaceae bacterium. Its description in RNAcentral is "tRNA-Ser". It matches the Rfam family "tRNA". From Rfam's summary of the family: Transfer RNA (tRNA) molecules are approximately 80 nucleotides in length. Their secondary structure includes four short double-helical elements and three loops (D, anti-codon, and T loops). The record is from RNAcentral. Lineage: Bacteria; Pseudomonadati; Bacteroidota; Chitinophagia; Chitinophagales; Chitinophagaceae.
GGUGAGGUGGAUGAGUGGCUGAAAUCAACGGUUUGCUAAACCGUCGUACGGGUCAAACCGUACCGGGGGUUCGAAUCCCCCCCUCACCGCAA